UACGUAGGUGACAAGCGUUGUCCGGAUUUACUGGGCGUAAAGAGCGCGCAGGCGGUCGUUCAAGUCGAGUGUGAAAGCCCCCGGCUCAACUGGGGAGGGUCAUUCGAUACUGAUCGACUCGAAGGCAGGAGAGGGAAGUGGAAUUCCCGGUGUAGUGGUGAAAUGCGUAGAUAUCUGGAGGAAUACCGGUGGCGAAGGCGGCAUCCUGGACCGACAUUGACGCUGAACGGCGAAAGCUAGGGGAGCAAACGGG
Molecule: ribosomal RNA, 253 nt
Filed under: uncultured bacterium
Lineage: Bacteria
Description: partial 16S ribosomal RNA
Rfam family: Bacterial small subunit ribosomal RNA
Source: RNAcentral